CUACGGGGUGCUGCAGUGAGGAAUAUUGCACAAUGGGGGGAACCCUGAUGCAGCAACGCCGCGUGGAGGAUGACGCAUUUCGGUGUGUAAACUCCUUUUAUAUGUCAAGAAAAUGACGGUAGCAUAUGAAUAAGCGCCGGCUAACUCCGUGCCAGCAGCCGCGGUAAUACGGAGGGCGCAAGCGUUACUCGGAAUCACUGGGCGUAAAGGACGCGUAGGCGGGUUGGAAAGUCAGGUGUGAAAUCCUACAGCUUAACUGUAGAACUGCACUUGAAACUUCUAAUCUAGAGUAUGGGAGGGGGAGAUGGAAUUAGUGGUGUAGGGGUAAAAUCCGUAGAUAUCACUAGGAAUACCUAAAGCGAAGGCGAUCUCCUGGAACAUUACUGACGCUGAGGUGCGAAAGCGUGGGGAGCAAACAGGAUUAGAUACCCGAGUAGUC
RNAcentral lists this ribosomal RNA (439 nucleotides) under uncultured bacterium. Its description in RNAcentral is "partial 16S ribosomal RNA". It matches the Rfam family "Bacterial small subunit ribosomal RNA", at positions 339 to 795 of the family's 1533-position model. The record is from RNAcentral.